RNAcentral lists this ribosomal RNA (798 nucleotides) under uncultured Bacillota bacterium. RNAcentral's name for it is "bacterial SSU rRNA". It matches the Rfam family "Bacterial small subunit ribosomal RNA", at positions 70 to 845 of the family's 1533-position model. Lineage: Bacteria; Bacillati; Bacillota. The record is from RNAcentral.
AAAGUUUCCUUCGGGAGAUGAGUAGAGUGGCGCACGGGUGAGUAACACGUAGGUAAUCUACCUUUGGAUGGGGAAUAACAAUCGGAAACGAUUGCUAAUACCGCAUAAUGCAGCGGCACCUAAUGGUGACAGUUGUUAAAGCGGGGGAUCGAAAGACCUCGCGUCUGAAGAGGAGCCUGCGGCGGAUUAGCUAGUUGGUAAGGUAAUGGCUUACCAAGGCUACGAUCCGUAACCGGCCUGAGAGGGCGGUCGGUCACACUGACACUGACAUACGGGUCAGACUCCUACGGGAGGCAGCAGUCGGGAAUUUUGGGCAAUGGGCGAAAGCCUGACCCAGCAACGCCGCGUGAAGGAUGAAAUCCCUCGGGAUGUAAACUUCGCAAGAACGGGAAGAAUAAGUGGAAGUUAAUACCUUCCAUGAUGACGGUACCGUUUGUAAGCUCCGGCUAACUCCGUGCCAGCAGCCGCGGUAAUACGGGGGGAGCAAGCGUUGUUCGGAUUUACUGGGCGUAAAGGGCGCGUAGGCGGCCAGCACAAGUCAGUUGUGAAAUCUCCGAGCUUAACUCGGAAAGGUCAACUGAUACUGUGCGGCUAGAGUGCAGAAGGGGCAACUGGAAUUCUUGGUGUAGCGGUGAAAUGCGUAGAUAUCAAGAGGAACACCUGCGGCGAAGGCGGGUUGCUGGGCUGACACUGACGCUGAGGCGCGAAAGCUAGGGGAGCGAACGGGAUUAGAUACCCCGGUAGUCCUAGCCUUAAACGAUGAAUGCUUGGUGUCUGGGGUUAUAAAGUCCCCGGGUG